RNAcentral lists this ribosomal RNA (486 nucleotides) under uncultured bacterium. RNAcentral's name for it is "partial 16S ribosomal RNA". It matches the Rfam family "Bacterial small subunit ribosomal RNA", at positions 28 to 523 of the family's 1533-position model. The record is from RNAcentral.
GAUGAACGCUGGCGGCGUGCCUAACACAUGCAAGUCGAACGGAGUUAUAUGAAGUUUUCGGACGGAAUAUAACUUAGUGGCGGACGGGUGAGUAACGCGUGGGUAACCUGCCUCAUACAGGGGGAUAACAGUUGGAAACGGCUGCUAAAACCGCAUAAGCAUACAUUGCCGCAUGGCAGAGUGUGAAAAUAUUUAUAGGUAUGAGAUGGGCCCGCGUCUGAUUAGCUAGUUGGUGGGGUAAAGGCCUACCAAGGCGACGAUCAGUAGCCGGCUUGAGAGAGGUACCGGCCACGUUGGGACUGAGACACGGCCCAAACUCCUACGGUAUGCAGCAGUGGGGAAUAUUGCACAAUGAGGGAAACCUUGAUGCAGCGACGCCGCGUGAGUGAAGAAGUAUUUCGGUAUGUAAAGCUCUAUCAGCAGGGAAGAAAAUGACGGUACCUGACUAAGAAGCCCCGGCUAACUACGUGCCAGCCGCCGCGGUAA